UUUAGGAACGGAGGGAGUAUAUUAUAUUAAAAAAAUGCCAUUGGUCUAGCAUUUCACCCUUUUUUAAUGUCCUAAACGUCUCUGUAGCUAAUGUUUUAAUUUUUCUUUUGGUUAUAUGUAGUCUUUUUAACAUACUUCAGCCAGUUUGGUUUCACAUGUAAUAGUGAAUUUUGCAGUUUUGCCACGCAUCGUAUUUCUCACUUGUUUUUUUUUCUUUUUCACAGAACGUAUUUCUCACUUGUAGGUCAAAGUACGUGCUGUUUGUCCAUCCAUCAGAGCAAAAUAUGUACAUCUAAUAUUCCUGCCAUAGCAAAAAGUAGGAGAAGGCUAUUGUUUUCUCCAAAUCACGCCGACAACAAAAUCCCCUUUCUUUAUUGUACUGUUCACUCUACGCGGCUGUGAUUUGGGUAGGGUGGGCAGGGGAGAUCCCAGGAGGACGCGUCAUGCUGCUCGACAUCGUCAUGGCCGGCGCGGCCGGGGCGAUGGUGCUGGAGGUUGGUGGUGCGGAGGAGGCGGUGACUGACCUGACGAAGGGUGCACAGGUUCGCGGAUUUCCCAGCGAUUUGGUGCGUGCCGAUCUUCCAAGCCAUUCUGACCGAGGGGACCGGGCGUUCGAGCAGCUGUUCUUGCUCCGGCCACCAGCGAGACCGGAUCUCGCCGUCGCUGAUAAGGAAAGGCGGAUGCCAGUCGCCUGGGAGGUCACGGGUGCUGGCAGAGAGCUUUGGCGUUGCGUAGAAUGGUCUCUCGUUCCUUGUCGCUUAGGUUGAUGAAGAGCGACAUAUUUCCAUCCAAUGAGUGGUGAGAGAUCUCAUGGAGGAUGGAGUACCGGUUCAUGGAUUUACUGGACAAAAUUGUUCUACUGGGUCAAGCUGUUGGUGCUAGGGCAUCAAUGCCAAGGUGGCAUGGGACAGAAAAUAAUUGUUGACCAAGGCAAGCUAAUGGAGAAUGACUGGAUCCUGAGGCACAGUACAGAUGGUGGACUACUGCUAUGGUCUAUUAGAGGUGUGGGGGUAACGGAGGCAGAUUCAUAUGAGGAGAUAGCGAAAUAAAUAAAUAGCACCAAGAUGUGAGCAACAUGUUUGGCCGGCCAUUGUGUUGUUGCCCUCCCCAUUGUCGGUGUGGACUUCUACCAGAUGUAAGUGCUGAUGAUAAGCAUCAUUCUAAUGAAUAUUAUGGCUUAUAGUUCCUACAUAGCACUGUAAAGUGGUUUUUUAUUUGUUGUUACCUUGUCUUAGCAAGAAGGUUUUAACUUGUUAAUUGUAAAACAAA
Aegilops tauschii subsp. strangulata is the source of this 1269-nucleotide non-coding RNA. Lineage: Eukaryota; Viridiplantae; Streptophyta; Magnoliopsida; Poales; Poaceae. The record is from RefSeq and is a predicted model, not a curated record.